GUAAGGCUCCUUCUGACCUCCUUGCACUCUCUGGGACCUGGAGUGUUAGGUGCAGCCUUGCUG
This is a microRNA precursor of Gallus gallus (chicken), 63 nucleotides long. NCBI's taxonomy places the organism in Eukaryota, Metazoa, Chordata, Aves, Galliformes, Phasianidae. The record is from Ensembl.